RNAcentral lists this ribosomal RNA (253 nucleotides) under uncultured bacterium. RNAcentral's name for it is "partial 16S ribosomal RNA". It matches the Rfam family "Bacterial small subunit ribosomal RNA", at positions 524 to 776 of the family's 1533-position model. The record is from RNAcentral.
UACGUAGGGAGCAAGCGUUGUUCGGAUUUACUGGGCGUAAAGGGCGCGUAGGCGGCGCGGUAAGUCACUUGUGAAAUCUCUGAGCUUAACUCAGAACGGCCAAGUGAUACUGCAGUGCUAGAGUGCAGAAGGGGCAAUCGGAAUUCUUGGUGUAGCGGUGAAAUGCGUAGAUAUCAAGAGGAACACCGGUGGCGAAGGCGGGUCUCUGGGCAGUAACUGACGCUGAGGAGCGAAAGCGUGGGGAGCGAACAGG